RNAcentral lists this ribosomal RNA (354 nucleotides) under Triticum aestivum (bread wheat). Its description in RNAcentral is "partial small subunit ribosomal RNA". Lineage: Eukaryota; Viridiplantae; Streptophyta; Magnoliopsida; Poales; Poaceae. The record is from RNAcentral.
AUGGAAGAAGGAACUGAUGAAACUGUGAGCUCAUUGGAUGAAAAAGAUGAUGAGGAGAGCGAAGAAAAAAAGGAGGAAGAGCGGAUUAGCUACCCGUUCCCACCUUCUAAUGAGAGUAACUCUUCAACUCAUACAUUGUUUAAUGUCCCUUCGUUCUUACCGAAGGAUGAAUGCUAUGAUAAUUGCUAUGAUCCCAUUGAUUCGUUUGAAAUAUCCCUUUUUGAUGAUGCUUGCUAUGCUUGUGGCCAAGAUGCCAAUAUGAAUUAUGCUAUUGGAGAUGAACUUGCUAUUGUUCCUUAUAAACAUGAAAUUUUGCUAUUACACCCACACAUGAUAGUCAUAUUAUCUUUUUGA